AAUGAACGCUGGCGGCGGGCCUAAUACAUGCAAGUCGAGCGAACGGACGAGGGGCUUGCUUUUCUGAUAUUAGCGGCUGACGGGUUAGUAACACGUUCGUAACCUACCUAGAAGACUGGGAUAACUUCGGGAAACCGUAUCUAAGACCGGGUAAUAUUUUGAACCGCAUGGUUCAAGAGUGAAAAACGGUCUUGCGAUCACUUAUAGAUGGAUCCGCGCUGAAUGAGCUAGUUGGUAAGGUAACGGCUUACCAAGUCAACGAUGGAUAGCCGACCUGAGAGCGUGAUUGACCAGACUGGCACUGAGAAACGGCACCGACUCCUAAGGGAGGAAGCAGUAGGGACUCCUACGCGAAGCGCGAAAGCGUGACGGAGCACAGUCGCGUGAGUGCUGAAGGUCCUAUGCUCGGAAAACGAUGUAAUUAGGGAAGUACAAAUGUGCAAGUAACUGUGAACAUCUUGACGGUACCUAAUCAGAAAGCCACGGCUAACUACGUG
This 497-nucleotide ribosomal RNA is filed under the name uncultured bacterium. Its description in RNAcentral is "partial 16S ribosomal RNA". It matches the Rfam family "Bacterial small subunit ribosomal RNA", at positions 29 to 507 of the family's 1533-position model. The record is from RNAcentral.